Molecule: ribosomal RNA, 253 nt
Filed under: uncultured bacterium
Lineage: Bacteria
Description: partial 16S ribosomal RNA
Rfam family: Bacterial small subunit ribosomal RNA
Source: RNAcentral
UACAGAGGGUGCAAGCGUUAAUCGGAUUUACUGGGCGUAAAGCGUGAGUAGGUGGCUUCGUAAGUCGGUUGUGAAAUCCCUGGGCUUAACCUGGGAAUUGCAUCCGAUACUGCGGAGCUAGAGUUCGGUAGAGGACGGCGGAAUUCCCGGUGUAGCGGUGAAAUGCGUAGAUAUCGGGAGGAACAUCGAUGGCGAAGGCAACCGUCUGGGCCUGAACUGACACUGAGACACGAAAGCGUGGGUAGCAAACAGG